AUUGAACGCUGGCGGCAUGCCUUACACAUGCAAGUCGAACGGCAGCACGGGUGCUUGCCCCUGGUGGCGAGUGGCGCACGGGUGAGUAAUACAUCGGAACAUGUCCUGUAGUGGGGGAUAGCCCGGCGAAAGCCGGAUUGAUACCGCAUACGAUCUACGUAUGAAAGCGGGGGACCUUCUGGCCUCGCGCUUUAGGGUUGGCCGAUGGCUGAUUAGCUAGUUGGUGGGGUAAAGGCCUACCAAGGCGACGAUCAGUAGCUGGUCUGAGAGGACGACCAGCCACACUGGGACUGAGACACGGCCCAGACUCCUACGGGAGGCAGCAGUGGGGAAUUUUGGACAAUGGGCGAAAGCCUGAUCCAGCAAUGCCGCGUGUGUGAAGAAGGCCUUCGGGUUGUAAAGCACUUUUGUCCGGAAAGAAAUACUUGGCCCUAAUACGGUCGGGGGAUGACGGUACCGGAAGAAUAAGCACCGGCUAACUACGUG
Molecule: ribosomal RNA, 486 nt
Filed under: uncultured bacterium
Lineage: Bacteria
Description: partial 16S ribosomal RNA
Rfam family: Bacterial small subunit ribosomal RNA
Source: RNAcentral